This 305-nucleotide ribosomal RNA is filed under the name uncultured bacterium. RNAcentral's name for it is "bacterial SSU rRNA". It matches the Rfam family "Bacterial small subunit ribosomal RNA", at positions 338 to 659 of the family's 1533-position model. The record is from RNAcentral.
CCUACGGGAGGCAGCAGUGGGGAAUAUUGCACAAUGGGGGAAACCCUGAUGCAGCGACGCCGCGUGAGUGAAGAAGUAUUUCGGUAUGUAAAGCUCUAUCAGCAGGAACGAGACAAGACGGUACCUGACUAAGAAGCCCCGGCUAACUACGUGCCAGCAGCCGCGGUAAUACGUAGGGGGCAAGCGUUAUCCGGAAUCACUGGGUGUAAAGGGAGCGUAGACGGCUGUGCAAGCCUGAAGUGAAAGGCGGGGGCCCAACCCCUGGACUGCUUUGGGAACUGUACGGCUGGAGUGCAGGAGAGGUA